AGUGAACGCUGGCGGUAGGCCUAACACAUGCAAGUCGAACGGCAGCACAGUAAGAGCUUGCUCUUACGGGUGGCGAGUGGCGGACGGGUGAGGAAUACAUCGGAAUCUACUUUUUCGUGGGGGAUAACGUAGGGAAACUUACGCUAAUACCGCAUACGACCUACGGGUGAAAGCAGGGGAUCUUCGGACCUUGCGCGAUUGAAUGAGCCGAUGUCGGAUUAGCUAGUUGGCGGGGUAAAGGCCCACCAAGGCGACGAUCCGUAGCUGGUCUGAGAGAAUGAUCAGCCACCCUGGAACUGAGACACGGUCCAGACUCCUACGGGAGGCAGCAGUGGGGAAUAUUGGACAAUGGGCGCGAGCCUGAUCCAGCCAUACCGCGUGGGUGAAGAAGGCCUUCGGGUUGUAAAGCCCUUUUGUUGGGAAAGAAAAGCAGCAGGUUAAUACCCCGCUGUUCUGACGGUACCCAAAGAAUAAGCACCGGCUAACUUCGUG
RNAcentral lists this ribosomal RNA (492 nucleotides) under uncultured bacterium. Its description in RNAcentral is "partial 16S ribosomal RNA". It matches the Rfam family "Bacterial small subunit ribosomal RNA", at positions 29 to 507 of the family's 1533-position model. The record is from RNAcentral.